GAAAUGCGAUAACUAAUGUGAAUUGCAGAUUUCAGUGAAUCAUCGAGUCUUUGAACGCAAGUGGCACUGUGGGGCAUGCCCCGCAGUAUACCUGUUCGAGCGUCGCCAUAUUCCUCAACAUCGAACCAAAUCUUGUAUUUGGUUUCGAUCGUUGGACGAUGUCUGUUGAAUGCUUCUAUAGCCUUCAUCAGUGACCAAAGUCAUUCCCUAGCGCCAGGUGUACUCUUUCAUCUCUUGGCAUCACAUGCUUACAACGUGGUAAGGUGACUUGUUCACAAUCUACUCUCGAUGUAAGCGCCUCGAGCUAGUGAGAGAGGAGCUGUGCAUAUGCUGCUGGGUCCCUUUUGUGUGUGUUUUACUACACAUACAAUACAAAACAUCCACACACGACCUCGAAUCAGGCAAGGCUACCCGCUGAAUUUAA
This 424-nucleotide unclassified non-coding RNA is filed under the name uncultured Graphium. Its description in RNAcentral is "sequence contains ITS1". The stretch from base 1 to 105 matches the Rfam family "5.8S ribosomal RNA", at positions 50 to 154 of the family's 154-position model. The record is from RNAcentral. Lineage: Eukaryota; Fungi; Ascomycota; Sordariomycetes; Microascales; Graphiaceae.